AACGAACGCUGGCGGCAGGCUUAACACAUGCAAGUCGAACGCCCCGCAAGGGGAGUGGCAGACGGGUGAGUAACGCGUGGGAACAUACCCUUUUCUACGGAAUAGCUCUGGGAAACUGGAAUUAAUACCGUAUACGCCCUACGGGGAAAAGAUUUAUCGGGGAAGGAUUGGCCCGCGUUGGAUUAGCUAGUUGGUGGGGUAAAGGCCUACCAAGGCGACGAUCCAUAGCUGGUCUGAGAGGAUGAUCAGCCACAUUGGGACUGAGACACGGCCCAAACUCCUACGGGAGGCAGCAGUGGGGAAUAUUGGACAAUGGGCGCAAGCCUGAUCCAGCCAUGCCGCGUGAGUGAUGAAGGCCUUAGGGUUGUAAAGCUCUUUCACCGAUGAAGAUAAUGACGGUAGUCGGAGAAGAAGCCCCGGCUAACUUCGUG
This 431-nucleotide ribosomal RNA is filed under the name uncultured bacterium. RNAcentral's name for it is "partial 16S ribosomal RNA". It matches the Rfam family "Bacterial small subunit ribosomal RNA", at positions 29 to 507 of the family's 1533-position model. The record is from RNAcentral.